UAUGUGAUCGUCUCUCGCAUAUCAAUAAGCGGAGGAAAAGAAACUAACAAGGAUUCCCCUAGUAACGGCGAGUGAAGCGGGAAGAGCUCAAAUUUGAAAUCUUAAAGGGUUUCCCUUUACGAAUUGUAGUUUAAAGAAGUGUUUUCUGUUGAGGUUUUGGUAAAAGUUCUUUGGAAUAGGACAUCAUAGAGGGUGAGAAUCCCGUAUUUGACCUUUACUUUCAACUUUGUGAUACACUCUCAAAGAGUCGGAUUGUUUGGGAAUGCAGUCCAAAAUGGGUGGUAAAUUUCAUCUAAAGCUAAAUAUUGGCGAGAGACCGAUAGCGAACAAGUACCGUGAGGGAAAGAUGAAAAGAACUUUGAAAAGAGAGUUAAACAGUACGUGAAAUUGUCAAAAGGGAAGCGUUUGACACCAGUGUUGUUUUUCUGAAAAUCAAUUAAAGAACUGUUUAUGCUAAGUUGUUUAGACUUUAUCAGCUAAUCUGUUUAGUUUUGAGCUUUUCUUUAAUGCACUUUUCAGUUAACAAGUCAACAUCAAUUUCUUUUGCUGUAAAAAAGCUUGAGGAAGGUGGCUUGAGAUUCGUCUUAAGUGUUUAUAGCCUCUUGCCUAUGCAGUCGGAGAGAUUGAGGUCUGCAGCGUAGAUCCUUCGGGGCUAAAUGCAUUUGUGCUAAGUUAUAGCAUUUUAUAGACAACUUGUUGACUAUGAUUUGUCUUGUAGCUUACUCGCUUAUGUUAUUUUACCUACGCUUAGGAUGUUGAAGUCAUCGUAUCGCGC
This 775-nucleotide ribosomal RNA is filed under the name uncultured Neocallimastigales. Its description in RNAcentral is "partial large subunit ribosomal RNA". It matches the Rfam family "Eukaryotic large subunit ribosomal RNA", at positions 24 to 645 of the family's 3401-position model. Lineage: Eukaryota; Fungi; Neocallimastigomycota; Neocallimastigomycetes; Neocallimastigales. The record is from RNAcentral.